CCCCUAGAUGUUCUGGGCCGCACGCGCGCUACACUGAACAGUUCAACAAGUCUUAACCUUGGCCGAUAGGUCUGGGUAAUCUUUGAACGCUGUUCGUGAUUGGGAUAGACCUUUGCAAUUAUGGGUCUUCAACGAGGAAUUCCUAGUAAACGCAAGUCAUCAGCUUGCAUUGAUUACGUCCCUGCCCUUUGUACACACCGCCCGUCGCACCUACCGAUUGAAUGGUCCGGUGAGGCCCCCGGAAUGUGGUCACGGCUUUGGUUCGCCAAACUGAGAUCGCGUGAAGCUGUCCAAACCUUAUCAUUUAGAGGAAGGAGAAGUCGUAACA
Molecule: ribosomal RNA, 328 nt
Filed under: uncultured eukaryote
Lineage: Eukaryota
Description: partial 18S ribosomal RNA
Rfam family: Eukaryotic small subunit ribosomal RNA
Source: RNAcentral